RNAcentral lists this ribosomal RNA (406 nucleotides) under uncultured bacterium. RNAcentral describes it as "partial 16S ribosomal RNA". It matches the Rfam family "Bacterial small subunit ribosomal RNA", at positions 30 to 526 of the family's 1533-position model. The record is from RNAcentral.
AUUGAACGCUGGCGGCAGGCUUAACACAUGCAAGUCGAGCGAGCGGCGGACGGGUGAGUAAUGUCUGGGAAACUGCCUGAUGGAGGGGGAUAACUACUGGAAACGGUAGCUAAUACCGCAUACCAUCAGAUGUGCCCAGAUGGGAGUGGCUAGUAGGUGGGGUAAUGGCUCACCUAGUCGACGAUCCCUAGCUGGUCUGAGAGGAUGACCAGCCACACGGGAACGGAGACACGGUCCAGACUCCGACGUGAGGCAGCAGUGGGGAAUAUUGCACAAUGGGCGCAAGCCUGAUGCAGCCAUGCCGCGUGGGUGAAGAAGGCCUUCGGGUUGUAAAGCACUUUCAGCGAGGAGGCGUUACUCGCAGAAGAAGCACCGGCUAACUCCGUGCCAGCAGCCGCGGUAAUAC